Molecule: long non-coding RNA, 355 nt
Filed under: Mytilus galloprovincialis (Mediterranean mussel)
Lineage: Eukaryota; Metazoa; Mollusca; Bivalvia; Mytilida; Mytilidae
Source: RNAcentral
CUUGUAUCUUUUACAAGAUUUGAAUUUGUAAUACUCAGUCUAUGCAGUUUUUGGAGCACAUUUUACAGUUUACGGUUCAUCAGUUUGGAAUGAGAUGUACCAAUCGGCAUUAGAAUUAUCAGAACCCUUCGAUAUCGUUGAAAAUAUGCCGAGGCGAUGUGGUCGACAGACUACCAGAGCCAAUCACCCUGCAAACACGCCAAAACAGUAUUGGAAAGUCUCAUUAUUUUUUGCUUAUGUUGAAAACAAAUGUACGAUCAACAAUGAACGACGACAGUUACUAGCAUUACUGCAUAUUCAUCGGCAUUUCAGUGUGAAUAUUGACAAUUAAAGUAAUAGAGAAGUUUGUUUCUGC